RNAcentral lists this ribosomal RNA (451 nucleotides) under uncultured bacterium. RNAcentral's name for it is "partial 16S ribosomal RNA". It matches the Rfam family "Bacterial small subunit ribosomal RNA", at positions 29 to 523 of the family's 1533-position model. The record is from RNAcentral.
AACGAACGCUGGCGGCAGGCUUAACACAUGCAAGUCGAACGCGUGUAGCAAUACACGAGUGGCGCACGGGUGAGUAACGCGUGGAUAUCUGCCUUUUGGUUCGGAAUAACUCCGGGAAACUGGAGCUAAUACCGGAUGGUUCCUUCGGGAUAAAGAUUUAUCGCCAAAAGAUGAGUCCGCGUACGAUUAGCUAGUUGGUGAGGUAAUGGCUCACCAAGGCGACGAUCGUUAGCUGGUCUGAGAGGACGAUCAGCCACACUGGGACUGAGACACGGCCCAGACUCCUACGGGAGGCAGCAGUGGAGAAUAUUGGACAAUGGGGGCAACCCUGAUCCAGCCAUGCCGCGUGAGUGAUGAAGGCCUUCGGGUUGUAAAGCUCUUUUGGCGGGGACGAUGAUGACGGUACCCGCAGAAUAAGCCCCGGCUAACUUCGUGCCAGCAGCCGCGGUAA